Molecule: long non-coding RNA, 1500 nt
Organism: Ochotona curzoniae (black-lipped pika)
Lineage: Eukaryota; Metazoa; Chordata; Mammalia; Lagomorpha; Ochotonidae
Exons: 3
Source: RefSeq, a predicted model, not a curated record
GGGUUCUCCUCUUUGUCUCUCCUCCUUUAUAUAUCUGCCUUUCUAAUAGGAAUUUUUAAAAAAUCAGAUUUCUAGAUACGAGGACCCAUUAGAGCCAGUGCAUGUGCUGCGGUGCGUGAGAUGACUAGACAGAAGGUUGAGGGAGGAGACGGACUGUGGCCUGGGAAGAGGAGAGAAGCGUAUUGGGUCUAUCCCAACUCAGAGUCCUGUGGUCUCAUGAGGUCCAGCUGCAAGUCUUCCCCUCAAGUCCUUUCCAUGAUGUCUGCCCCAUCCUUCACCCCUUGUUUGAAGCAGCCUGAGUCAGGUUCUUGAUAAUCAAGAGAGCUUUGGCUGGAAGGGAUUAGACAAAUUCCCUAAUAAGUGCUGUGUUUGAAGUUCCCAUAAAGCAGUGAUGAUUUAUUUGGUAAAUAUUUGAGCUAGUCUAGGCACUGAGGAUGUAGUAAGGAACUAGCAAGGAUUCAGUUGGAGCAGACAAGAUAGAAAAUAAAUAUACCAGCAACUAAGGCAUUUUCAGGAAGUAGUGCUAUGAAGAAGGAAGAAAACUAAGCAGGUUUGUGUGACAGGUUGCCUGUGGAGUUACAUGAGGUGGCCAGUGUUUAUGUGUGGACAAGGUGAAGUGUCUUGUAUGCACCUGCUGUGUGAAGAUGGUGGAACAUUGCCGAGCAGUCUGUUAACAGUGUACAUGAGUUUGAAGGAAAGAGUGGGUUGUUCAGGACACAACAAUGUGGGUAGUACGGCCAUCCUCCGCUGCUAUCCCAGACCAUAAGCAGGGAGCUGGACUGGAAGUGGAGCAGCUAGGACUUGAACCAGCGCUCAUAUGGAAUGUUAGCAUUGUAGAUGAAGGAUUAGUGUGUUAUGCCACCAUGUUGGCCCCUCUUGCUGAAUGGAACAUUGAGACCAUUACAAAGAGAGAGGGACAAGGGAGUGGUACCUAUUGACUUCACUUGCAUAUUUAAAAGCUCAGAAUUUCAUAUGCCUUAUUUAAUAUUCAUAGGCUACCACAAAGGCUUCAUUGCUGUAGCCCCUUCAUUUAUUUAAAGUUUAUUUAAAGUCAAAGUUACAUAAAGAGAAAAUCUUCCAUCCCAGAUGGUUGAAACGGCCAACAUAGGGCCAGGUUGAACCCAGGAGUUUCAUUUGAGUUUUAGUGUGGGUGACAGAGGCCCAGACACUUAGGACUGCACUGUUUUUGCAGGCCAUUAGCAGGGAGCUGGAUUAGAAAUGGAGCAGCUGGGACAUGAAGCAGUAUGCAUAUGAGGUUGCUGGUACUGCAGGCAGAGACUUUAUGCCAUGACACCAGUCCUUACAGUUACUGUUAAUGAUGAAGAAUGAGAAGUAAAUGACAAAAAGGAUGCCCAGUUGUGAUGCCUUUUAAAACCCAGAAAACAUGAAAAACACGACACAAGUAAUGAAAACACUGUAAAUGCGCCUGAGUCCUGGAACCCUGGAGGCUGUCGUGCAAUUUGCGGAGGAUCAGCACAGCCUCCCAUAUGGUUUCCAAGU